AUUGAACGCUGGCGGCAGGCUUAAUACAUGCAAGUCGAACGGUAACAGCAGAAAAGCUUGCUUUUUUGGCUGACGAGUGGCGGACGGGUGAGUAAUACCUAGGAAACUGCCUAAACGAGGGGGAUAACAUUUGGAAACGAGUGCUAAUACCGCAUAAUACUGAGAAGUCAAAGGUUGGUUUACCAAUCGCGUUUAGAUGUGCCUAGGAGGGAUUAGCUAGUUGGUGGGGUAAAGGCCUACCAAGGCGAUGAUCUCUAGCUGGUCUGAGAGGAUGACCAGCCACACUGGAACUGAGACACGGUCCAGACUCCUACGGGAGGCAGCAGUAGGGAAUAUUGCACAAUGGGGGGAACCCUGAUGCAGCCAUGCCGCGUGUGUGAAGAAGGCC
Molecule: ribosomal RNA, 388 nt
Filed under: uncultured bacterium
Lineage: Bacteria
Description: bacterial SSU rRNA
Rfam family: Bacterial small subunit ribosomal RNA
Source: RNAcentral